CCUACGGGAGGCAGCAGUGAGGAAUAUUGGUCAAUGGGCGGGAGCCUGAACCAGCCAAGCCGCGUGAGGGAAGAAGGUACAGCGUAUCGUAAACCUCUUUUGUCAGGGAACAAAGGCGGGGACUAGUCCCCGGAUGAGGGUACCUGAAGAAAAAGCAUCGGCUAACUCCGUGCCAGCAGCCGCGGUAAUACGGAGGAUGCGAGCGUUAUCCGGAUUUAUUGGGUUUAAAGGGUGCGCAGGCGGCCUGUUAAGUCAGCGGUAAAAGCCCGGGGCUCAACCCCGUCCGGCCGUUGAAACUGGGGGCCUUGAGUGGGCGAGAAGAAGGCGGAAUGCGUGGUGUAGCGGUGAAAUGCAUAGAUAUCACGCAGAACCCCGAUUGCGAAGGCAGCCUUCCGGCGCCCUACUGACGCUGAGGCACGAAAGUGCGGGGAUCGAACAGGAUUAGAUACCCGAGUAGUC
This 459-nucleotide ribosomal RNA is filed under the name uncultured bacterium. RNAcentral's name for it is "partial 16S ribosomal RNA". It matches the Rfam family "Bacterial small subunit ribosomal RNA", at positions 338 to 795 of the family's 1533-position model. The record is from RNAcentral.